This 993-nucleotide long non-coding RNA is filed under the name Coturnix japonica (Japanese quail). RNAcentral's name for it is "lncRNA (ENSCJPG00005003034.1)". Lineage: Eukaryota; Metazoa; Chordata; Aves; Galliformes; Phasianidae. The record is from RNAcentral.
CGCAUCAAUCACCGCCACCUGGGAGCAGGGAGGAAGGGACUGCAGGGCCCCCUCCUGCCAUGCCUCCAUUCCAGCACUGUCACUUGUCCCUGCUCCACUGGGCUCUCUGCCACCAGCCCUGGGAGACAGCACAGGGCUCAGUGAGCAGACAGGCUGUGAAAACUUGGACAACACAGCACAUCCCUUCUGUGAUGGGAAGGGCUGGAAAUGGAGCUGGCACCUGGCACUGCUGUAGGAGAUAGGGGGACCACUGGAGCUCAGCACAGCUUGAGGACAUGGGGCUGCCAGUCACACACCUGGAUGACCACCAUGCUUUCUCCAGCCAGAUUUUUUGGUGGAUGAGCAGUGCCUGGAUGCAUCUCCAGAGAUUAUGUGUUCAGAUGAUGCCAAUGGAGGGAUGAGGAUGGCAUGUGCCCUGGCCGACUUCAGCUGGGUGAGCUCCCAGCCUGGUUCCUGGGGAAGCUUGGGAGAACAGACAGCAGAGCGCAGCAUCACUGCUUCGUGGACCACAUGGAGCUGCUCUGAGUGCCACCCAACAUGCACAGCUGUCAUCCUGCUUUGCUGCAGGCAUUGGCCCAGUUCCAUUUGGCGUUGGCGGCAGUUCCCAGCCUGUGCAUUUUGAUGCGGAUUCUCCAACCACUUGUAAACUCUUAUAAGCGAGGAGGAAGGAGGUGGGAAGCACAGCGCCUUGCUGCAGGCAGGAGCAUGGCUGGGGAGCAGGGCAGGGAGCUGAGCCUGGCUGUCCUCAUCUCCUUAUCACUAAUAAAAUGGUGGGAAUGGCUGCUGUGGGCCCAGAGGUUAUCAGAGAUUGGUGAGUAUGGAAGGAAGGGAUGCAGAAGGACCCAACAGGGUGCAGUGCAGCAUGGGAGCAGCAGAAGGCAACAGGGGAAGGCAGCACGGGCAGUGCCAAUAUCACUCCCCUGCUCUCUGAAAACCCCAAUGAUCAGCCCCCUAUUUCGUGAAUACACAAUCCACUUGCAGCUUCCUAAAUAA